UACGAAGGGGGCUAGCGUUGCUCGGAAUCACUGGGCGUAAAGGGUGCGUAGGCGGGUUUUUAAGGCAGGGGUGAAAUCCUGGAGCUCAACUCCAGAACUGCCUUUGAUACUGAAGAUCUUGAGUUCGAGAGAGGUGGGUGGAAUUCCUAGUGUAGAGGUGAAAUUCGUAGAUAUUAGGAAGAACACCGGUGGCGAAGGCGGCCCACUGGCUCGAUACUGACGCUGAGGUGCGAAAGCGUGGGGAGCAAACAGG
RNAcentral lists this ribosomal RNA (253 nucleotides) under uncultured bacterium. Its description in RNAcentral is "partial 16S ribosomal RNA". It matches the Rfam family "Bacterial small subunit ribosomal RNA", at positions 524 to 776 of the family's 1533-position model. The record is from RNAcentral.